This 28-nucleotide non-coding RNA is filed under the name Homo sapiens (human). The record is from RNAcentral. Lineage: Eukaryota; Metazoa; Chordata; Mammalia; Primates; Hominidae.
UGGCAAAGCCCAACUUAAAUGGCAACUC